UGGGGAAUAUUGCACAAUGGGCGCAAGCCUGAUGCAGCCAUGCCGCGUGUAUGAAGAAGGCCUUCGGGUUGUAAAGUACUUUCAGCGGGGAGGAAGGCGAUAAGGUUAAUAACCUUGUCGAUUGACGUUACCCGCAGAAGAAGCACCGGCUAACUCCGUGCCAGCAGCCGCGGUAAUACGGAGGGUGCAAGCGUUAAUCGGAAUUACUGGGCGUAAAGCGCACGCAGGCGGUCUGUCAAGUCGGAUGUGAAAUCCCCGGGCUCAAGCUGGGAACUGCAUUCGAAACUGGCAGGCUAGAGUCUUGUAGAGGGGGGUAGAAUUCCAGGUGUAGCGGUGAAAUGCGUAGAGAUCUGGAGGAAUACCGGCGGCGAAGGCGGCCCCCUGGACAAAGACUGACGCUCAGGUGCGAAAGCGUGGGGAGCAAACA
Molecule: ribosomal RNA, 427 nt
Filed under: uncultured bacterium
Lineage: Bacteria
Description: partial 16S ribosomal RNA
Rfam family: Bacterial small subunit ribosomal RNA
Source: RNAcentral